ACAUGCAAGUCGAGGGGCAGCAUCGCGAUAGCUUGCUAUUGCGGAUGGCGACCGGCGCACGGGUGAGUAACGCGUAUCCAACCUUCCCGCAACUGGGGAAUAACCUUGCGAAAGUAAGACUAAUACCCCAUGGUCUCCACGGAUGGCAUCUGAAGUGGAGUAAAGGUUUCGGCCGGUUGCGGAUGGGGAUGCGUCCGAUUAGCUUGACGGCGGGGUAACGGCCCACCGUGGCAUCGAUCGGUAGGGGUUCUGAGAGGAAGGUCCCCCACAUUGGAACUGAGACACGGUCCAAACUCCUACGGGAGGCAGCAGUGAGGAAUAUUGGUCAAUGGGCGGAAGCCUGAACCAGCCAAGUAGCGUGAAGGACGACUGCCCUAUGGGUUGUAAACUUCUUUUAUGCGGGGAUAAAGUUCGCCACGUGUGGCGUUUUGCAGGUACCGCAUGAAUAAGGACCGGCUAAUUCCGUGCCAGCAGCCGCGGUAAUACGGAAGGUCCAGGCGUUAUCCGGAUUCAUUGGGUUUAAAGGGAGCGUAGGCCGCCUUUUAAGCGUGUUGUGAAAUGUAGGGGCUCAACCCCUGCACUGCAGCGCGAACUGGAGGGCUUGAGUACACACAAAGUAGGCGGAAUUCAUGGUGUAGCGGUGAAAUGCUUAGAUAUCAUGAAGAACCCCGAUUGCGAAGGCAGCUUACUGGAGUGUAACUGACGCUGAAGCUCGAAAGCGCGGGUAUCGAACAGGAUUAGAUACCCUGGUAGUCCGCGCGGUAAACGAUGGAUGCCCGCUGUUUGCCAAU
Molecule: ribosomal RNA, 791 nt
Filed under: uncultured bacterium
Lineage: Bacteria
Description: bacterial SSU rRNA
Rfam family: Bacterial small subunit ribosomal RNA
Source: RNAcentral